UGAGUUGCAAAGACCCUAUUUUCAAAAAAAGUCAUGUCCUGAUCUUUGAGUAAACAUGAAUUUCAGAGGGGCAUUCCAGUACAAGCGGUAACUAGGGAAUUUUUUUUGAAGAUUUAUUUUUAUGUAUGUGAGUGUACGUUUUUCUGUGCAUAUGGAUGGCUAUGCACACUUGCAUACCCACACAGCCCAGAGUAGGGAUCAGAUCCUCUGGAACUGGAGUUACAGGAGGAUGUGAGCUAACCAGGUGGAUGCUGGGAAUCAAACUCAGGUCAUUCCCAAGAGACCUGCUAACCCAUCUCUCCAGUCUGAAAAUUGAUACACCCGUACAAUUUUGGUUUUGAGAUACAGACCCUUGCUACAUAACCCUGGCUGGCCUAGACCUCCCCACAUAGAGCAAGCUGGCCUCAAGAUCUAACUGCCUUCCUCUGCCUCUGAGUGCUGGGAUCGUAUCUAUGCCACCACACCCUG
This 468-nucleotide long non-coding RNA is filed under the name Rattus norvegicus (Norway rat). RNAcentral's name for it is "long non-coding RNA NONRATT009558". Lineage: Eukaryota; Metazoa; Chordata; Mammalia; Rodentia; Muridae. The record is from RNAcentral.